This is a small nuclear RNA of Echinops telfairi (small Madagascar hedgehog), 107 nucleotides long. The record is from Ensembl. Lineage: Eukaryota; Metazoa; Chordata; Mammalia; Afrosoricida; Tenrecidae.
GCGCUCACUUCAGCAGCACAUGUACUAAAAUUGGAAUGAGCGAGAGAUGAUUAGCAUGGCCCUUGUGCAAGGAUGACUCACAAAUUUGUGAAGCAUUCCAUAUAUGA